RNAcentral lists this ribosomal RNA (385 nucleotides) under Staphylococcus aureus. RNAcentral describes it as "bacterial SSU rRNA". It matches the Rfam family "Bacterial small subunit ribosomal RNA", at positions 1 to 375 of the family's 1533-position model. The record is from RNAcentral. Lineage: Bacteria; Bacillati; Bacillota; Bacilli; Caryophanales; Staphylococcaceae.
UUUAUGGAGAGUUUGAUCCUGGCUCAGGAUGAACGCUGGCGGCGUGCCUAAUACAUGCAAGUCGAGCGAACGGACGAGAAGCUUGCUUCUCUGAUGUUAGCGGCGGACGGGUGAGUAACACGUGGAUAACCUACCUAUAAGACUGGGAUAACUUCGGGAAACCGGAGCUAAUACCGGAUAAUAUUUUGAACCGCAUGGUUCAAAAGUGAAAGACGGUCUUGCUGUCACUUAUAGAUGGAUCCGCGCUGCAUUAGCUAGUUGGUAAGGUAACGGCUUACCAAGGCAACGAUGCAUAGCCGACCUGAGAGGGUGAUCGGCCACACUGGAACUGAGACACGGUCCAGACUCCUACGGGAGGCAGCAGUAGGGAAUCUUCCGCAAUGGG